This 399-nucleotide ribosomal RNA is filed under the name Triticum aestivum (bread wheat). RNAcentral's name for it is "partial small subunit ribosomal RNA". The record is from RNAcentral. Lineage: Eukaryota; Viridiplantae; Streptophyta; Magnoliopsida; Poales; Poaceae.
AUGGUGCGGCGGCGGCGGCAUCCUCGUGGUGGACCUGUGUCCUCGGGCUCCGCCGUAGCGAUGGCGUUUGCUCCAGCGCCGGCGUGGAGCUUGGGAGGUAGUCCAGGGGCGGAUGCAGAUUGUGGUCUGCAUCAACGGCAUCUGGAAGAUAGUGGAUCUGGGUUCAUGGCAGGCAGGUAUGGUUUCCUCCUCCAACGUCUUAGUUGGGCGAGGGUGCCAGAUCUGAAAUUCGAUGGCGUGUCCGGGGUGUUGCCCCGGUCUGAUUCGUUCAACGGCAAUGACUUCGUCUUUAUUGGCGAGCCACCUUGGAGGUCCGCAAAGCUGCAUAUCAGCGAUGGAGCCGCGUCGAGCUCGGGUGUGGAGGUGAUCCGUCAUUUUCACCUUUGGUGGCUGCUAUGA